UGUCGUAUUCGCUUAACUCCAC
RNAcentral lists this non-coding RNA (22 nucleotides) under Arabidopsis thaliana (thale cress). The record is from RNAcentral. Lineage: Eukaryota; Viridiplantae; Streptophyta; Magnoliopsida; Brassicales; Brassicaceae.